RNAcentral lists this ribosomal RNA (258 nucleotides) under Pseudomonas sp. ISO14_OTU1178. RNAcentral's name for it is "partial 16S ribosomal RNA". It matches the Rfam family "Bacterial small subunit ribosomal RNA", at positions 30 to 289 of the family's 1533-position model. The record is from RNAcentral. Lineage: Bacteria; Pseudomonadati; Pseudomonadota; Gammaproteobacteria; Pseudomonadales; Pseudomonadaceae.
UUGAACGCUGGCGGCAGGCCUAACACAUGCAAGUCGAGCGGAUGAGAGGAGCUUGCUCCUGGAUUCAGCGGCGGACGGGUGAGUAAUGCCUAGGAAUCUGCCUGGUAGUGGGGGACAACGUUUCGAAAGGAACGCUAAUACCGCAUACGUCCUACGGGAGAAAGCAGGGGACCUUCGGGCCUUGCGCUAUCAGAUGAGCCUAGGUCGGAUUAGCUAGUUGGUGAGGUAAUGGCUCACCAAGGCGACGAUCCGUAACUG